This 28-nucleotide small RNA is filed under the name Bombyx mori (domestic silkworm). RNAcentral describes it as "ovarian small RNA-9894". Lineage: Eukaryota; Metazoa; Arthropoda; Insecta; Lepidoptera; Bombycidae. The record is from RNAcentral.
AAAAUCCAUGUGGUGGUGCAUUACUGUU